CUACGGGGGGCUGCAGUGGGGAAUAUUGCACAAUGGGCGCAAGCCUGAUGCAGCCAUGCCGCGUGUAUGAAGAAGGCCUUCGGGUUGUAAAGUACUUUCAGCGGGGGGAAGGGAGUAAAGUUAAUACCUUUGCUCAUUGACGUUACCCGCAGAAGAAGCACCGGCUAACUCCGUGCCAGCAGCCGCGGUAAUACGGAGGGUGCAAGCGUUAAUCGGAAUUACUGGGCGUAAAGCGCACGCAGGCGGUUUGUUAAGUCAGAUGUGAAAUCCCCGGGCUCAACCUGGGAACUGCAUCUGGUACUGGCAAGCUUGAGUCUCGUAGAGGGGGGUAGAAUUCCAGGUGUAGCGGUGAAAUGCGUAGAGAUCUGGAGGAAUACCGGUGGCGAAGGCGGCCCCCUGGACGAAGACUGACGCUCAGGUGCGAAAGCGUGGGGAGCAAACAGGAUUAGAUACCCUAGUAGUC
RNAcentral lists this ribosomal RNA (463 nucleotides) under uncultured bacterium. Its description in RNAcentral is "partial 16S ribosomal RNA". It matches the Rfam family "Bacterial small subunit ribosomal RNA", at positions 339 to 795 of the family's 1533-position model. The record is from RNAcentral.